UACGGAGGAUGCGAGCGUUAUCCGGAUUUAUUGGGUUUAAAGGGUGCGUAGGCGGUUUUUUAAGUUAGUGGUUAAACGUCGGGGCUUCACCUUGAUUUGCCAUUAAUACUGUAAGACUCGAGUUCAGACGAGGUAGGCGGAAUAAGUUAAGUAGCGGUGAAAUGCUUAGAUAUCGCGCAGAACCCCGAUUGCGAAGGCAGCGUACCGGCUCCACACUGACGCUGAGGCACGAAAGCGUGGGUAUCGAACAGG
RNAcentral lists this ribosomal RNA (252 nucleotides) under uncultured Odoribacter sp. RNAcentral's name for it is "partial 16S ribosomal RNA". It matches the Rfam family "Bacterial small subunit ribosomal RNA", at positions 524 to 776 of the family's 1533-position model. Lineage: Bacteria; Pseudomonadati; Bacteroidota; Bacteroidia; Bacteroidales; Odoribacteraceae. The record is from RNAcentral.